Molecule: transfer RNA, 71 nt
Filed under: Marmota monax (woodchuck)
Lineage: Eukaryota; Metazoa; Chordata; Mammalia; Rodentia; Sciuridae
Description: tRNA.Val
Rfam family: tRNA
About the family: Transfer RNA (tRNA) molecules are approximately 80 nucleotides in length. Their secondary structure includes four short double-helical elements and three loops (D, anti-codon, and T loops). Further hydrogen bonds mediate the characteristic L-shaped molecular structure. tRNAs have two regions of fundamental functional importance: the anti-codon, which is responsible for specific mRNA codon recognition, and the 3' end, to which the tRNAs corresponding amino acid is attached (by aminoacyl-tRNA synthetases). tRNAs cope with the degeneracy of the genetic code in two manners: having more than one tRNA (with a specific anti-codon) for a particular amino acid; and 'wobble' base-pairing, i.e. permitting non-standard base-pairing at the 3rd anti-codon position.
Source: RNAcentral
GGGGUUGUGGCUCAGUGGUGGAGCACUCACCUUACACAUGUGAGACCCUGGGUUCGAUCCUCAGCACCACA